GGCAGUGGCGGCAUGCUAUACAUGCAGUAGAACGCUGAAGAGAGGAGCUUGCUCUUCUUGGAUGAGUUGCGAACGGGUGAGUAACGCGUAGGUAACCUGCCUUGUAGCGGGGGAUAACUAUUGGAAACGAUAGCUAAUACCGCAUAACAAUGGAUGACACAUGUCAUUUAUUUGAAAGGGGCAAUUGCUCCACUACAAGAUGGACCUGCGUUGUAUUAGCUAGUAGGUGAGGUAAUGGCUCACCUAGGCGACGAUACAUAGCCGACCUGAGAGGGUGAUCGGCCACACUGGGACUGAGACACGGCCCAGACUCCUACGGGAGGCAGCAGUAGGGAAUCUUCGGCAAUGGGGGCAACCCUGACCGAGCAACGCCGCGUGAGUGAAGAAGGUUUUCGGAUCGUAAAGCUCUGUUGUAAGUCAAGAACGGGUGUGAGAGUGGAAAGUUCACACUGUGACGGUAGCUUACCAGAAAGGGACGGCUAACUACGUGCCAGCAGCCGCGGUAAUACGUAGGUCCCGAGCGUUGUCCGGAUUUAUUGGGCGUAAAGCGAGCGCAGGCGGUUUGAUAAGUCUGAAGUUAAAGGCUGUGGCUCAACCAUAGUUCGCUUUGGAAACUGUCAAACUUGAGUGCAGAAGGGGAGAGUGGAAUUCCAUGUGUAGCGGUGAAAUGCGUAGAUAUAUGGAGGAACACCGGUGGCGAAAGCGGCUCUCUGGUCUGUAACUGACGCUGAGGCUCGAAAGCGUGGGGAGCGAACAGGAUUAGAUACCCUGGUAGUCCACGCCGUAAACGAUGAGUGCUAGGUGUUGGAUCCUUUCCGGGAUUCAGUGCCGCAGCUAACGCAUUAAGCACUCCGCCUGGGGAGUACGACCGCAAGGUUGAAACUCAAAGGAAUUGACGGGGGCCCGCACAAGCGGUGGAGCAUGUGGUUUAAUUCGAAGCAACGCGAAGAACCUUACCAGGUCUUGACAUCCCGAUGCUAUUUCUAGAGAUAGAAAGUUACUUCGGUACAUCGGUGACAGGUGGUGCAUGGUUGUCGUCAGCUCGUGUCGUGAGAAGUUUGGGGUUAAGUCCCCCAACCAACGGCACCCCCUAUUGUUAGUUGCCACCAUUCAAUUUGGGCACUCUACCGAGACUGCCGGUAAUAAACCCGAGGAAAAGGGGGGGAAGGAAGUCCAAAUAAUUCAUGGCCCCUUAUAAACUGGGGGGACCAACCUGGUCCCAAAGGUGGUG
This 1231-nucleotide ribosomal RNA is filed under the name Streptococcus thermophilus. Its description in RNAcentral is "bacterial SSU rRNA". It matches the Rfam family "Bacterial small subunit ribosomal RNA", at positions 32 to 1239 of the family's 1533-position model. The record is from RNAcentral. Lineage: Bacteria; Bacillati; Bacillota; Bacilli; Lactobacillales; Streptococcaceae.